Molecule: long non-coding RNA, 1712 nt
Organism: Protopterus annectens (West African lungfish)
Lineage: Eukaryota; Metazoa; Chordata; Ceratodontiformes; Protopteridae
Exons: 9
Source: RefSeq, a predicted model, not a curated record
CUCACUACCUAAAGCUCUAAGAGACUAACUCUCCUGCCUAACCCAGCGUCUGUUUGCCUGGGCUGAACUUCCUCUCCACUAUAUGAGGGUACUUUCUGCAUACAACCCUUGAAAGCUCUGGACCCUGCACUCUUCUACAAACUCACUACCUAAAGCUCUAAGAGACUAACUCUCCUGCCUAACCCAGCGUCUGUUUGCCUGGGCUGAACUUCCUCUCCACUAUAUGAGGGUACUUUCUGCAUACAACCCUUGAAAGCUCUGGACCCUGCACUCUUCUACAAACUCACUACCUAAAGCUCUAAGAGACUAACUCUCCUGCCUAACCCAGCGUCUGUUUGCCUGGGCUGAACUUCCUCUCCACUAUAUGAGGGUACUUUCUGCAUACAACCCUUGAAAGCUCUGGACCCUGCACUCUUCUACAAACUCACUACCUAAAGCUCUAAGAGACUAACUCUCCUGCCUAACCCAGCGUCUGUUUGCCUGGGCUGAACUUCCUCUCCACUAUAUGAGGGUACUUUCUGCAUACAACCCUUGAAAGCUCUGGACCCUGCACUCUUCUACAAACUCACUACCUAAAGCUCUAAGAGACUAACUCUCCUGCCUAACCCAGCGUCUGUUUGCCUGGGCUGAACUUCCUCUCCACUAUAUGAGGGUACUUUCUGCAUACAACCCUUGAAAGCUCUGGACCCUGCACUCUUCUACAAACUCACUACCUAAAGCUCUAAGAGACUAACUCUCCUGCCUAACCCAGCGUCUGUUUGCCUGGGCUGAACUUCCUCUCCACUAUAUGAGGGUACUUUCUGCAUACAACCCUUGAAAGCUCUGGACCCUGCACUCUUCUACAAACUCACUACCUAAAGCUCUAAGAGACUAACUCUCCUGCCUAACCCAGCGUCUGUUUGCCUGGGCUGAACUUCCUCUCCACUAUAUGAGGGUACUUUCUGCAUACAACCCUUGAAAGCUCUGGACCCUGCACUCUUCUACAAACUCACUACCUAAAGCUCUAAGAGACUAACUCUCCUGCCUAACCCAGCGUCUGUUUGCCUGGGCUGAACUUCCUCUCCACUAUAUGAGGGUACUUUCUGCAUACAACCCUUGAAAGCUCUGGACCCUGCACUCUUCUACAAACUCACUACCUAAAGCUCUAAGAGACUAACUCUCCUGCCUAACCCAGCGUCUGUUUGCCUGGGCUGAACUUCCUCUCCACUAUAUGAGGGUACUUUCUGCAUACAACCCUUGAAAGCUCUGGACCCUGCACUCUUCUACAAACUCACUACCUAAAGCUCUAAGAGAGUAUGUUUAAUUAAUUUGUUUAUGGUCUCUUCCUAAUUUUUAUCUUGUGCUGUUUUGGUUUGCUCCCACCUAGUUUCCUAGCAGCAGCCCCCCCUAUACCCCUUACUCUGUUUAAUCUUCCUCUCUCUGUCCUUAGUGUUGUACUUAGCCUGUACUCUCCCUCCCAGUAGUGUUUGUCAUUGUUUCUUUCCUACCCCUGAACCUUGUGACUCCUCUCUGUACCUUGACUUCUGUGUCCAGUAGGUAUCACUCUGUCCACUCCAAGACCUACAGAACUGGACAUUUCCCAUCCAUAUUCUUCCUACCCUCACCUUCUCACCCCUUUUCCUUUCCAUCUCUGAAGUGCUCUGUGACCCACUCCCCCUUCCCUUUCUAUCUCAAACCUUCUCUUUGCUAACUUUCUCUGUUACUUUUUCCUU